Molecule: ribosomal RNA, 117 nt
Filed under: Diacronema viridis
Lineage: Eukaryota; Haptophyta; Pavlovophyceae; Pavlovales; Pavlovaceae
Source: RNAcentral
ACACCUGAUUCUUUAUUUAGAAAAAAAGACUUCCGAUCCCCGUAAGAGCUCGAUAAAAUAAAAUUUUCUAAGCCAAAGCACGUACCCUUCUAGGGGAUCUCUGGUAUUUUCAGGUUU